GAAAUGCGAUAAGUAAUGUGAAUUGCAGAAUUCAGUGAAUCAUCGAAUCUUUGAACGCACCUUGCGCUCCUUGGUAUUCCUUGGAUCAUGCCUGUUUGAGUAUCAUGAAAUCUUCAAAGUAAAUCUUUUGUUAACUCAAUUGGUUUCUACUUUGGUAUUGGAGGUCUUUGCAGCUUCACACCUGCUCCUCUUUGUUUAUUAGCUGGAUCUCAGUGUUAUGCUUGGUUCCACUCGGCGUGAUAAGUUAUCUAUCGCUGAGGACACUGUAAAAGGUGGCCAAGGUAAAUGCAGAUGAACCGCUUCUAAUAGUCCAUUGACUUGGACAAUACUUUUAUGAUCUGAUCUCAAAUCAGGUAGGACUACCCGCUGAACUUAAGC
This 378-nucleotide unclassified non-coding RNA is filed under the name plant metagenome. RNAcentral describes it as "partial contains 5.8S ribosomal RNA, internal transcribed spacer 2, and large subunit ribosomal RNA". The stretch from base 1 to 105 matches the Rfam family "5.8S ribosomal RNA", at positions 50 to 154 of the family's 154-position model. The record is from RNAcentral.